Long non-coding RNA from Pleuronectes platessa (European plaice), 849 nucleotides. RefSeq lists it as uncharacterized. NCBI's taxonomy places the organism in Eukaryota, Metazoa, Chordata, Actinopteri, Pleuronectiformes, Pleuronectidae. The record is from RefSeq and is a predicted model, not a curated record. The transcript has 2 exons.
CUUCCGGUGUCAACAACAUGGCGAAGUUCUUUAAUCUCCUCUGUCAUUUCCACCUUCUCUCCACAACAUUGCCUUAAUGCACUGGAUGGAAGAGGAUCAAAGAUCAAUAUCCAGACCAGAUGAGGCCUGUCUCUCAGUCUGCACUCUCCUGUCCCAAACCCACUGAAGCCUUUCAUGUUUCUACACUUUGGCUCCACAGAUGCCUGGACGUACUGGAAAGAAAAUGAACUACAGUGUUUUCCAGUGGAUCUGGAAACAUUGGAGAGGACAGUGACAUCAAAAUGUAUUUAGCCUGACACUUUCAUGAGCAAUAUGCAACAGACAUGUGCUGCUUUUUGAUAUACAAACUGUACAAUCUCAUUGUCAUGCAACAGAUCUUCUUUAUCACAUUUUUGCAGUGAAAAUAUCACAUACACAAGAACAGUUUCUUCAACGUAAAAGUUUACAAAAAACUACACACAACUCACAGGCUGAAACGACUCUGUUUCAUUAUUGUGAUUGAACUCGUCAUUACAAAAAAAGUUUGUGUCAGACACAGCAAUUGACAACAGUGCAUUGUAAGCUUGGUGACAGUUUGAUUAAAAAAACUUUUAAUCAAAUAUUCCUGAGGUUUAUGCAUUUUCUGUGCAACCCGUUGUUCCUUAAGGCUUCACUUGCUUCAAAGUUUUUAUGGCGUUCAUCAGGGUAUUGAUUACCAGCAGGUGAUUUGUUUAUUAGUGUUUAAAAUCGCUGCAUCUUUUUUCUGGAAAAUCUAAAACUAAAAGCACCUGUCAUGGUCCACUCAUUUCAGAAAUAUUGCACACCUUCAUCCAUUAAAACAAGACAGUAUCAAAAUCUUACUGACUGAAA